Molecule: ribosomal RNA, 371 nt
Filed under: uncultured bacterium
Lineage: Bacteria
Description: bacterial SSU rRNA
Rfam family: Bacterial small subunit ribosomal RNA
Source: RNAcentral
AGAGGUCCCGAGCGUUGUUCGGAUUCACUGGGCGUAAAGGGUGCGUAGGUGGUGAGGUAAGUCGGAUGUGAAAGCUCCAAGCUCAACUUGGAAAUGGCAUUGGAAACUACCUUGCUAGAGGGUUUGAGGGGGGACUGGAAUACUUGGUGUAGCAGUGAAAUGCGUAGAUAUCAAGUGGAACACCAGUGGCGAAGGCGAGUCCCUGGAAAACUCCUGACACUGAGGCACGAAAGCUAGGGGAGCAAACAGGAUUAGAUACCCUGGUAGUCCUAGCCGUAAACGGUGCGUAUUUGCUGUAAAAGGAAUCGACCCCUUUUGUGGCGUAGCCAACGCGUUAAAUACGCCGCCUGGGAAGUACGGUCGCAAGAUUA